This is a long non-coding RNA of Eriocheir sinensis (Chinese mitten crab), 2104 nucleotides long. RefSeq lists it as uncharacterized. The transcript is spliced from 2 exons. Lineage: Eukaryota; Metazoa; Arthropoda; Malacostraca; Decapoda; Varunidae. The record is from RefSeq and is a predicted model, not a curated record.
AGGAAAGGUACAUAAAUCGGAGCAUUCAGUAUUUUUGUUCACUAAAUGAAUCUGACAAAGAAACGAGUAAUGAGAAAAAUUGCAAGUUACAGAAAUUAAACCCAAGGAAUAUAUAUUUUUAAGAACUUUGGACAGGAAGCGGUCAAAAGGUUAAAAUAUCUAAGGACGCAUUUCUAAACUAGUCUGCGGAGAUUUUAAGAAGACGAAAUAUUAAAAAAGAAAUGUUACCGGAAAUUUCCUUUUAACUCUUGGACAGGAAGCGGUCAAAAGGUUAAAAUAUCUAAAGACGUAUUUCUAAACUAGUCUGCGGAGAUUUUAAGAAGACGAAAUAUUAAAAAAGAAAUGUUACCUGAAAUUUCCUUUUAACUCUAGGACAGGAAGCGGUAAUAAAAAUCUAAAGACGUGUACCUUAAUGAGUUUAAUGAAGAAAUUAUUACAGAACGACAUUGUACUACACUCAAUUAGCACCGCGGCGAUGUAUCAUUAACUCGGACAGAAGAAAAGUUAAAAAGAAAUUGCCACAAUGAUAAAUAGAAAAUCGCGUUAUUAAGAUGAAGCUAGAGACAAAAUUAAUGAUGAAGAUUAAGAAUGCAAGAAGAAAAAGACGCAAGUAUAUAUAUUUAAACCCUUGUCAAUCAUUAAACGCUAAAAAUGGGGAUGAAAUAAUAACGGAUGAAAUAAUAAUGAUAAAUAGAAAAUCGUGUUAAUAAGAUGAGGCGACAAAACUAUUAUGAAAAUUGAAAACGUUAGAAAAAAAGACGCAAGUAUAUAUAUUUAAACCCUUGUCAAUCAUUAACGCUAAAAUAAUAACGAGAGAGCAAAAGAACAUAAAUAACAUAACAAAGACUAUCACGACCUCACGAAUUUCAGUAACAGGUGAAGACAGGAAGAAAAAAAAAAGACGCAGGUGAAAAUUUAAACCCUUGUCUAUCGAAACUAAAAAUAGGGAUGAAAUAAUAACGAUUGAGCAAAAGAACAUUAAAACACUAUCCCGACCCCACGAAUUUCAGCUAACGUAAUAGGUAACGUAAGAAAGAGAAAAAUGCAAGUAGAAAUUAAACCCUUGUCUACCAAAACACUAAACACGGGGAUGAAAUGACAAAGAAACAGCGAAACAACAUAACAAACAUCGCAAACCCUCUCGCAACCCCAUGAAUUCCCGCUAACAACAGGUAGAGGGAGGAAGAGAAAAAAGACAUGUAUAAAUUUAAACCCAUGACUAUCAAAGCUAAAACUGUUGAAAAUAAUAACAAAAAAGCGGAAAAAAACAUAGCUAACACCACAAUCCCUAUCAUAACACCACGAACUUCAGGUAACAUAACAGGUAACGAAAGAAAGAAAAAUCAACACAAGGAAAAAUCUAAAGCCUUGUCUAUAUCACAACACUAGAAAAGGGAAUGAAGAUAAUAGCCAAAGACGAAAAUAACAUAGCUAACACAACGAAGACCAUCUCGACCCCACGAAUUUCAAUAACACACGAGCGAAAAAAAAAAGUAGAUAGAAAUUUAAACCAUGACUAUCAAAACUAAAACUGCAGAUGAAAAUGUCAACCAAAGGCGAAAAGAACACAGCUAACACAACAAAGACCUUCUCCAACCCAUGAAUUUCAGUAACACACGAGCGAAAGAAAGAAAAAGAAGACGUAGGUAUAUAUUUAAACCCAUGACUAUCAAAACUAAAACUGGAGAUGAAGAUAAUAGCCAAAGACGAAAAGCUCUCAACUAACAUCACACACAAGAUCUCCAACCCACGAAUUUCAGUAACACACGAGCGAAAAAAACACGCAGCAUUCCCCUCUUAAAUUCAUGGUUAUAUACAACCUCCCUAAUUGAAGGUGACAGUCCUAUUGCGGCUCAAAUAAUACAAUAAAAGGCUCAUAAAACACACCUGGACGCCCUAAACGCUAGAUGUGAGCCAGGUAAAGGUGAGAAAACAGCGUGCAAUUAGGGUGACAAACGGGAAAACACACACACACACACACACACACACACACACACACACACACAGACGAACCUGGGGAUGACUUGUGCUUUAUCGAGAGAGAGAGAGAGAGAGAGAGAGAGAGAGAGAGAGAGAGAGAGAGAGAGAGAGAGAGAGAGAGAGA